RNAcentral lists this transfer RNA (72 nucleotides) under Camelus bactrianus (Bactrian camel). It matches the Rfam family "tRNA". Rfam says of the family: Transfer RNA (tRNA) molecules are approximately 80 nucleotides in length. RNAcentral also lists the same sequence under 2 other names. Lineage: Eukaryota; Metazoa; Chordata; Mammalia; Artiodactyla; Camelidae. The record is from Rfam by way of RNAcentral.
UGAGUAAUAGCUCAGCGGUAGAGCGCAUGCUUAGUAGGCAAGAGGUCCUGGAUUCUAUCCCCAGUACCUCCA